RNAcentral lists this small nuclear RNA (97 nucleotides) under Macaca mulatta (Rhesus monkey). RNAcentral describes it as "U5-1 snRNA". It matches the Rfam family "U5 spliceosomal RNA", at positions 1 to 90 of the family's 117-position model. Rfam says of the family: U5 RNA is a component of both types of known spliceosome. The precise function of this molecule is unknown, though it is known that the 5' loop is required for splice site selection and p220 binding, and that both the 3' stem-loop and the Sm site are important for Sm protein binding and cap methylation. Lineage: Eukaryota; Metazoa; Chordata; Mammalia; Primates; Cercopithecidae. The record is from RNAcentral.
UAGCAUGAUACUCUGGUUUCUCUUCAGAUCGUAUAAAUCUUUCGCCUUUUACUAAAGAUUUCCGUGGAGAGGAACAACUCUGAGUCUUAAACCAAUU